This is a non-coding RNA of Camelina sativa (false flax), 310 nucleotides long. Lineage: Eukaryota; Viridiplantae; Streptophyta; Magnoliopsida; Brassicales; Brassicaceae. The record is from RefSeq and is a predicted model, not a curated record.
UGAACAGGAGGGGCAGCUGCAAUGCAGACCCAAACUGUGGAUCUAUCUGAGCGACCAAUCAUGUACUAUGGAGGAAGUGUUUGGGGUAAACUACCUCACAAGAUCCUGGCUGCAGCAAACAACACAUUGCCUCCUCAAAAGAUAUCGCCAACGGAUUACAUGACUGAAGUGUGCCGAGGAUUGCUGAUGCCAAAAUCGUCAAGUUCUAACAAUUGAAUGGUCCUUGUUCUGCUGAUGGAUCCCAUAUAGACUAGUGAAAAUGGUGUUGGGUGUUUGUUGAGAUAAAGAAACUAUAGCUUCCCACACGACA